RNAcentral lists this ribosomal RNA (468 nucleotides) under uncultured bacterium. RNAcentral's name for it is "partial 16S ribosomal RNA". It matches the Rfam family "Bacterial small subunit ribosomal RNA", at positions 28 to 507 of the family's 1533-position model. The record is from RNAcentral.
GACGAACGCUGGCGGCGUGCUUAACACAUGCAAGUCGAACGGAAAGGCCCUGCUUUUGUGGGGUGCUCGAGUGGCGAACGGGUGAGUAACACGUGAGUAACCUGCCCUUGACUUUGGGAUAACUUCAGGAAACGGGGGCUAAUACCGGAUAGGAGCUCCUGCUGCAUGGUGGGGGUUGGAAAGUUUCGGCGGUUGGGGAUGGACUCGCGGCUUAUCAGCUUGUUGGUGGGGUAGUGGCUUACCAAGGCUUUGACGGGUAGCCGGCCUGAGAGGGUGACCGGCCACAUUGGGACUGAGAUAUGGCCCAGACUCCUACGGGAGGCAGCAGUGGGGAAUAUUGCACAAUGGGCGGAAGCCUGAUGCAGCAACGCCGCGUGCGGGAUGACGGCCUUCGGGUUGUAAACCGCUUUCGCCUGUGACGAAGCGUGAGUGACGGUAAUGGGUAAAGAAGCACCGGCUAACUACGUG